Molecule: transfer RNA, 73 nt
Filed under: Anaerorhabdus furcosa
Lineage: Bacteria; Bacillati; Bacillota; Erysipelotrichia; Erysipelotrichales; Erysipelotrichaceae
Rfam family: tRNA
About the family: Transfer RNA (tRNA) molecules are approximately 80 nucleotides in length. Their secondary structure includes four short double-helical elements and three loops (D, anti-codon, and T loops).
Source: Rfam by way of RNAcentral
GCUCCCAUCUUCUAAUCGGUUAGGAAACGCGGUUCUCAUCCGUGAAACAGGGGUUCGAAUCCCCUUGGGAGUA